RNAcentral lists this ribosomal RNA (426 nucleotides) under Megaselia aculeata. Its description in RNAcentral is "partial 16S ribosomal RNA". Lineage: Eukaryota; Metazoa; Arthropoda; Insecta; Diptera; Phoridae. The record is from RNAcentral.
UUUUAGAAUUUAAUUUAAAGUCUAACCUGCCCACUGAGUUUUUUAAAUGGCCGCAGUAUUUUAACUGUGCAAAGGUAGCAUAAUCAUUAGUCUUUUAAUUGAAGGCUGGAAUGAAGGGUUGAAUGAAAUAUUAACUGUUUCAAUUUAAUUUAUAAUAAAAUUUUAUUUUUUAGUGAAAAAGCUAAAAUAUAAUUAAAAGACGAGAAGACCCUAUAAAUCUUUAUACUUAAUUAAUUUUAAUUAUAUUGAAAAUUUAAAUUAUUAUUUAAUUAAGUUAUUUUAUUGGGGUGAUAUUAAAAUUUAAAAAACUUUUAAUUUAUAAUUAACAUUAAUUAUUGAGUUAUUGAUCCAUAAAUUAUGAUUAUAAAAAUAAGUUACUUUAGGGAUAACAGCGUAAUUUUUUUAGAGAGUUCAUAUUGAUAAAAA